RNAcentral lists this long non-coding RNA (331 nucleotides) under Mytilus galloprovincialis (Mediterranean mussel). The record is from RNAcentral. Lineage: Eukaryota; Metazoa; Mollusca; Bivalvia; Mytilida; Mytilidae.
GGAAUUUAUGGUGAUAGAAAAGAGAACAAGAAGUCGCACGUUAAUAAUGAUAAGGGAAAAAAACAAAAAACUGAUAUGUAAUAAGUAUCUACAAUGUUAGGGAAAGUUAGUAGUGUGUAUAUGUGUUCUGUUACAGCUGCAGUAACUGCUUUGGUGAAAUCUUUCGAUGAGAUAUCAAACCAUCUUGUCUGUUAGAAGAUCCUUGUACAUUACACACGACUGUCAUGUUAGCACGCAAAGUUGUUAAUGUGUGUAUCAUUCUUCUGUUAAUUUUAACAUGCACACACAUUUAAAUGACGGCGGAGCAUCUGAUAUUUUGUUUAUCUGCAAU